Non-coding RNA from Spodoptera litura, 1492 nucleotides. The record is from RefSeq and is a predicted model, not a curated record. NCBI's taxonomy places the organism in Eukaryota, Metazoa, Arthropoda, Insecta, Lepidoptera, Noctuidae.
UGUUGCUUGUUCAGUUGUUGUAAAUGUACAUAAAUGGGAAAAUAAAUUGUUAUCAAUGAAUUACCCGAUUCAUAAAUAAUAUUAAAUAUUCAUACAUGUAUCAAUUAUAAGUUUUUUUUAUAAAUAUGUUAAAUAACGUAUUACUUUCUUCGGACGUUGCGCUAGUUUGUGUUCAACAUGCGUUAUCCACAGAAAAAGAAGAAAUUAUGGGCCUUCUUAUUGGGGAGGUACACAACAAAGGUACUGUGGUUUCGAUAGUGUCUUCUGUAAUUUUACGACGCUUGGAUAAAAAGCCCGAUCGUGUUGAAAUAUCUGAAGAGCAGUUAGUGCAAGCUACUUUGCGUGCUGAAGAAUUAGCAGCCGAAGUCAAUCGGCCACUAAGAGUAGUAGGAUGGUACCAUUCCCACCCCCAUAUCACAGUGUGGCCUUCACAUGUCGAUCUUGCAACACAGUCUAUGUACCAGAGAAUGGAUAGCAGCUUUGUUGGGCUUAUAUUUGCAGUAUUUCUCUCAGAUCAGACAACAAAGGCUCCUUCUAUUCAAAUAACCUGUUUCCAAUCCGUAAAUGAUGGCUCAAGUCAGAGUAGAAAAGAAAUUAAAUUGGAAGUUAUAAAUAAUAAUGACCCUUUAUUGUCAAACAAUUUUGAGACAUUGACACAACUGCCAGCAAUACUAAAAGAGGAGGAAGAUGAAGCUUUUGGCAGUAAAGCGGAAACAAAUGAUAUUGAUGACAUAAUAAACCGACAACAUAAUGCAGCAGUCAGAACUAUAGCAAUUGGACAUAUAGUUGAUAAGAUGUCCAGACCCAUGUUGGAAGGCCUUGUAGCAAGAAAUACUCUUAAUAUGGUACGCUUGAAAGCACUAAAAAGGCAACACCAGGAAAUGAUGUCUAAGCUAGAAAAUAUGUCUUGCAAUGUUUAAUUAUUUUUAUUUGAUAUGACACUUUUGUGUUUCCCAUUCAUUGUUACUUAUGAAUGAUUGUUUACACAUAUUCAUUUAACUUGGUCAAAACAUGUAUAUAUACAAAAGUCCCAUGAACAUUAAAACUUGAGUAACCUUUUGACCACCAGAAUAAUGUAUUUUUUUACUUGAUUCAAUGACUAAAGGACAACUCAUUCAAGUUGUUGAAUGUAACAUUCAAUGCCUUAACUUAACGUCAGUUUAAAACAGGAUAUAGCAGACUUUAUAAUAUUUGUUUAGGAUGAGUUUGGGGGAGUUGCCCCUCCCCACUAAUACCGCUCCAAAGACAAGGUAACCUACCAGAAAAACUAGUUUUCACAUUCUUAUUUCAAGACACUUAUAAGUUACCUGACAUGAACAAUAUUGGCUAACUAGUUGGAUCUUGAGUGACGCUUGUUCAUAAUAAGCCAAAAAGUGCCCAGCACGCCACAAUCACGACGACGUGACAUAAAAAGCUUUACUUUUUAUUUUCUUUAUUAAUUGACCUUCUUUAUAAUUUUUUUUAUCCUCUCGUCUGUUGAAAGUUGCGGGUA